This 471-nucleotide ribosomal RNA is filed under the name uncultured bacterium. RNAcentral's name for it is "bacterial SSU rRNA". It matches the Rfam family "Bacterial small subunit ribosomal RNA", at positions 37 to 524 of the family's 1533-position model. The record is from RNAcentral.
UGGCGGCUGCUUACACAUGCAGUCGAACGAUGAACUCCAGCUUGCUGGGGGGAUUAGUGGCGAACGGGUGAGUAACACGUGAGUAACCUGCCCUUGACUCUGGGAUAAGCGUUGGAAACGACGUCUAAUACCGGAUACGACCAGCCUCGGCAUCGGGUGUUGGUGGAAAGAAUUUUGGUCAAGGAUGGACUCGCGGCCUAUCAGGUAGUUGGUGAGGUAAUGGCUCACCAAGCCUACGACGGGUAGCCGGCCUGAGAGGGUGACCGGCCACACUGGGACUGAGACACGGCCCAGACUCCUACGGGAGGCAGCAGUGGGGAAUAUUGCACAAUGGGCGAAAGCCUGAUGCAGCAACGCCGCGUGAGGGACGACGGCCUUCGGGUUGUAAACCUCUUUUAGCAGGGAAGAAGCGAAAGUGACGGUACCUGCAGAAAAAGCACCGGCUAACUACGUGCCAGCAGCCGCGGUAAU